Molecule: long non-coding RNA, 668 nt
Organism: Humulus lupulus (European hop)
Lineage: Eukaryota; Viridiplantae; Streptophyta; Magnoliopsida; Rosales; Cannabaceae
Exons: 4
Source: RefSeq, a predicted model, not a curated record
AAAGCGAGGAGGGAGAAGCUAGAGGCAUGCAUGACGUGCCCUCUUUGUAAUAAGCUCUUGAGCAAAGCUACUACCAUCUCUCUCUGCCUCCACACGUGUUAAGUCAUUUGAAUCAACAACUGAAGUAGAUGAGUGGCUGUUUUCUAAUCCUAUGCUGACCCCCGGAGCCUUGCAUUUUGCUUAACAAAAUGCUACUGUAAUUAACUAUGUAUACAGACUAAUUCAACUCCAUUAGAAAAAAAAAGGGAACUAUGAACACCCCACAUUAAAGUUUCAAAUACCACUUCAGAUUGCAGCAGAGCGUGAAAUUGCUAGGUCUCUCAUUGGAGCUAAAUCCAGCACAAGAAAGAUGAGCAAUCAAUGAAGUGAUAUCUCAGUAUAUGAUUGCAAUUGAGUCAGGAAAUCAAUCAAAGAGACUGCCUUAAUUCUCUCUAAUGAUGAUAUUAAGGAGUCAUCACUAUUCGUUUUGUAGCUUUAAAUAGAUUAUAUGGUAAAUCAUUGCACUCUUAUUCCUUAAUGAAAAAACCAUAUGUAUCUUGUUUUGAGUGUUUAUAUUAUAUUUGUGAUCCUAAACUCUGUAUUUAUAGUUGUUUUAAUAGAUUGGAUAUGGUUUAGGUGAUAGCUUUUAGGGUUGGGUGCCGACCUAGUCGGCAUGCUUUUCUACUGGC